GUGCCAGCAGCCGCGGUAAUACGUAGGUGGCAAGCGUUAUCCGGAAUUAUUGGGCCGUAAAGCGCGCGUAGGCGGUUUCUUAAGUCUGAUGUGAAAGCCCACGGCUCAACCCGUGGAGGGUCAUUUGGAAACUGGGAAACUUGAGUGCAGAAGAGGAAAGUGGAAUUCCAUGUGUAGCGGUGAAAAUGCGCAGAGAUAUGGAGGAACACCAGUGGCGAAGGCGACUUUCUGGUCUGUAACUGACGCUGAUGUGCGAAAGCGUGGGGAUCAAACAGGAUUAGAUACCCUGGUAGUCC
This 296-nucleotide ribosomal RNA is filed under the name uncultured microorganism. Its description in RNAcentral is "partial 16S ribosomal RNA". It matches the Rfam family "Bacterial small subunit ribosomal RNA", at positions 505 to 796 of the family's 1533-position model. The record is from RNAcentral.